RNAcentral lists this ribosomal RNA (488 nucleotides) under uncultured bacterium. RNAcentral describes it as "bacterial SSU rRNA". It matches the Rfam family "Bacterial small subunit ribosomal RNA", at positions 36 to 518 of the family's 1533-position model. The record is from RNAcentral.
CUAGCGACAGGCCUAACACAUGCAAGUCAGGGGCAGCACAAGGAGCAAUCUGAGGUGGCGACCGGCGCACGGGUGAGUAACACGUAUGCAACCUGCCUGUAAGCGGGGAAUAACCCGUUGAAAGACGGACUAAUACCGCAUAAUACUAAAUUACUGCAUGGUAAUUUAUUUAAACAUUUAUGGCUUACAGAUGGGCAUGCGCAUGAUUAGCUAGUUGGAGAGGUAACGGCUCCCCAAGGCAACGAUCAUUAGGGGUUCUGAGAGGAAGGUCCCCCCACACUGGUACUGAGACACGGACCAGACUCCUACGGGAGGCAGCAGUGAGGAAUAUUGGUCAAUGGACGAGAGUCUGAACCAGCCAAGUCGCGUGCAGGAAGGAUUGUCCUAUGGAUUGUAAACUGCUUUUGCAGGGGAAUAAAGUGCAUCACGUGUGAUGUUUUGUAUGUACUCUGCGAAUAAGGAUCGGCCAACUCCGUGCCAGCCGCCGC